GGUGGAGUAACCUUUUAGGAGCUAGCCGUCGAAGGUGGGACAGAUGAUUGGGGUGAAGUCGUAACAAGGUAGCCGUAUCGGAAGGUGCGGCUGGAUCACCUCCUUUCUAAGGA
RNAcentral lists this ribosomal RNA (113 nucleotides) under Macrococcus carouselicus. Its description in RNAcentral is "partial 16S ribosomal RNA". It matches the Rfam family "Bacterial small subunit ribosomal RNA", at positions 1429 to 1533 of the family's 1533-position model. Lineage: Bacteria; Bacillati; Bacillota; Bacilli; Caryophanales; Staphylococcaceae. The record is from RNAcentral.